AAACAAAAAAAAAUAGCAAAAUUAUAAUAUGUGCAAAUCAACUCAUUGGGCUUUAGUUGGCAAUAUUUCGUUUCUUCUUGCUGCGUUAUUAUGGGUUGUUGCUCCUAUUUUGUGUUUUGGCGAUAAAGACGAGUGUAGCGAGGUGGAA
Molecule: non-coding RNA, 148 nt
Filed under: Pessonella sp. PRA-29
Lineage: Eukaryota; Discosea; Flabellinia; Vannellidae
Source: RNAcentral